UGAAAAUCGUUGCGUAAGAGGAGUAAGCAAGGAUUAGGUCGUUCAAAGAGAGCUAGUGAUGCUGGGAUGCUAGCACGAUCUACCCUGCUGAAUGGACUUACAAGAGGUUUCUUGAAAUAAGUAGUAGGGAAACACGGAGUUCCGCCGUUACACGGAUAGAAUAUCGGAUUGUAUUAGAUCCCGUAUUCGAACAAAGAUAAAAGCAUUUGCUUUUCAACAGAGGUGGCACCGCGGUCCCAUAAUCGUCCUCUAU
RNAcentral lists this non-coding RNA (253 nucleotides) under Virgibacillus salexigens. Its description in RNAcentral is "T-box". It matches the Rfam family "T-box leader". Rfam says of the family: Uncharged tRNA acts as the effector for transcription antitermination of genes in the T-box leader family. T-boxes are found upstream of many aminoacyl-tRNA synthetase genes and some amino acid biosynthetic genes usually in Gram-positive bacteria. Lineage: Bacteria; Bacillati; Bacillota; Bacilli; Caryophanales; Bacillaceae. The record is from RNAcentral.